GACGAACGCUGGCGGCGUGCUUAACACAUGCAAGUCGAGCGGUAAGGCCCUUUCGGGGGUACACGAGCGGCGAACGGGUGAGUAACACGUGGGUGACCUGCCCUCAGCUCUGGGAUAAGCCUGGGAAACUGGGUCUAAUACUGGAUAUGACUCCACGGUGCAUGUCGUGGGGUGGAAAGCCUUGUGCGGCUGAGGAUGGGCCCGCGGCCUAUCAGCUUGUUGGUGGGGUGAUGGCCUACCAAGGCUACGACGGGUAGCCGGCCUGAGAGGGCGACCGGCCACACUGGGACUGAGACACGGCCCAGACUCCUACGGGAGGCAGCAGUGGGGAAUCUUGCGCAAUGGGCGAAAGCCUGACGCAGCGACGCCGCGUGAGGGAUGACGGCCUC
This 389-nucleotide ribosomal RNA is filed under the name uncultured bacterium. RNAcentral describes it as "bacterial SSU rRNA". It matches the Rfam family "Bacterial small subunit ribosomal RNA", at positions 28 to 418 of the family's 1533-position model. The record is from RNAcentral.